Elgaria multicarinata webbii is the source of this 705-nucleotide long non-coding RNA. RefSeq lists it as uncharacterized. The transcript is spliced from 2 exons. NCBI's taxonomy places the organism in Eukaryota, Metazoa, Chordata, Lepidosauria, Squamata, Anguidae. The record is from RefSeq and is a predicted model, not a curated record.
CUAGGGUCUGCAAGAAAGGGGUCGCGGCCCUCUCUCUCCCAGCACUGCAUGUCAGGAAGGCUGCCAUACCAGUUGAACCAUUCCACCUGAUCCAGGCGAGAGAUCUCUUGCGAUUUCCCAGCGGGUUGACCCCUCUCCCUCUCUGCAAGCUGAGUUUCAACCCUCCCUCCUUUUGAAAGCAAAGCUGCUGUUUUGCAACAAACUGAAAAUAACUAAGCACAAGGGAGGGGAAAUGCACAAUGAAUGGAAAACGCUUAAAGGAACCAUAAGACGUGACCCUGUGUGCUUCCAGAUGGAGAACUCCCACCACUACCAACCAAACCAGAACGUGCAGCUUCCGUCUUUUCCUCCUUAGGGUGCAAGCCUAUAGCCCUUCUGAGUCCAGAGGCAUCUGUGUAUCCAGUGCUCUGUGGGGCUGAAACUGACAGGAGGGGAGUAUCAUAGAAUCAUAGAAUAGUAGAGUUGGAAGGGGCCUAAAGGCCAUCGAGUCCAACCCCCUGCUCAAUGCAGGGACGAUCUUCCCAUUCCUGUUCUCUGACACUCAUUUUUCACUAUACCGCACUUCACAGCAGGAGGGGAAGAGGCCGGGAAAACCCUCAAAGGCCUGGGCCUGGAUGGACAAUACGUCAGUUUCACUCUCCCCCCAUUCAAAUGUUUCCAAUCUCACAUUCUUCUUCCCAUCCUGAAAAUAAAGACAUUUGCAAA